Molecule: transfer RNA, 73 nt
Filed under: Aphyocharax rathbuni
Lineage: Eukaryota; Metazoa; Chordata; Actinopteri; Characiformes; Characidae
Description: tRNA-Leu
Rfam family: tRNA
About the family: Transfer RNA (tRNA) molecules are approximately 80 nucleotides in length. Their secondary structure includes four short double-helical elements and three loops (D, anti-codon, and T loops).
Source: RNAcentral
CUAAAAUGGCAGAGCCCGGUAAUUGCAAAAGACCUAAACCCUUUAUUCAGAGGUUCAAAUCCUCUUUUUAGUA